GCGAUAGGUCAUCGCUUCUGGAAUGGGCAGUGGCUCAACCUACAUGGCCCCAGGAUGGGACUGCGACCGAUCAGGUUGUUGGUGAGGUAAUGGCCCACCAAACCUAUAACCGGUACGGGCUCUGAGAGGAGGAGCCCGGAGAUGGACACUGAGACAAGGGUCCAGGUCCUAUGGGACGCAGCAGGCGCGAAACCUUCGCAAUAGGCGAAAGCCUGACGAGGUUAAUCCGAGUGUUUCCUGCUAAAGGAAUCUUUUGUCAGCUCUAAAAAUGCUGGCGAAUAAGGGGUGGGCAAGCCUGGUGUCAGCCGCCGCGGUAAUACCAGCACCCCGAGUGGUCGGGAUGAUUAUUUGGCCUAAAGCAUCCGUAGCCGGCCCCGUAAGUCUUCCGUUAAAUCCACCUGCUCAACAGUUGGGCUGCGGGAGAUACUGUGAGGCUAGGAGGCGGGAGAGGCGAGGGGUAUUCCUUGGGUAGGGGUAAAAUCCUCUGAUCCAUGGAGGACCACCAGUGGCGAAGGCGUCUCGCCAGAACGCGCUCGACGGUGAGGGAUGAAAGCUGGGGGAGCAAACCGGAUUAGAUACCCGGGUAGUCCCAGCUGUAAACGAUGUAGGCUCGGUGAUGGGUUGGGUUCGACCCAACCCAGUGCCGCAGGGAAGCCGUUAAGCCUACCGCCUGGGGAGUACGGUCGCAAGACUGAAACUUAAAGGAACUGGCGGGGGAGCACCACAAGGGGUGAAGCCUGCGGUUCAAUUGGAGUCAACGCCGGAAAUCCCGCGGCCAUGGCGGCCGGGAGCAUGCGACGUCGGGCCCAAUUCGCCCUAUAGUGAGUCGUAUUACAAUUCACUGGCCGUCGUUUUACA
This 858-nucleotide ribosomal RNA is filed under the name uncultured archaeon. RNAcentral's name for it is "bacterial SSU rRNA". It matches the Rfam family "Archaeal small subunit ribosomal RNA", at positions 153 to 977 of the family's 1478-position model. The record is from RNAcentral.